RNAcentral lists this ribosomal RNA (819 nucleotides) under uncultured eukaryote. Its description in RNAcentral is "SSU rRNA". It matches the Rfam family "Eukaryotic small subunit ribosomal RNA", at positions 629 to 1426 of the family's 1831-position model. The record is from RNAcentral.
CGGUGUUUAACUGGCGUGAUGUGGGACGUCCUACCGGUGGGCUUAGCCUCGCGAGGGGCGGCCCAACUAAUAUCCCGUCGCGGUGCUCUUUACUGAGUGUCGAGUCGGGCCGGUACGUUUACUUUGAACAAAUUAGAGUGCUUAAAGCAGGCUAUCCUCGCCUGAAUACUGCGUGCAUGGAAUAAUGGAAUAGGACCUCGGUUCUAUUUUGUUGGUUUUCGGAACCCCGAGGUAAUGAUUAAUAGGGACAGAUGGGGGCAUUCGUAUUGCGACGUUAGAGGUGAAAUUCUUGGAUCGUCGCAAGACGGGCAGAAGCGAAAGCAUUUGCCAAAAAUGUUUUCAUUAAUCAAGAACGAAAGUUAGAGGUUCGAAGGCGAUCAGAUACCGCCCUAGUUCUAACCAUAAACGAUGCCAGCUAGCGAUCCGCCGAAGUUCCUCCGAUGACUCGGCGGGCAGCUUCCGGGAAACCAAAGCUUUUGGGUUCCGGGGGAAGUAUGGUUGCAAAGCUGAAACUUAAAGGAAUUGACGGAAGGGCACCACCAGGAGUGGAGCCUGCGGCUUAAUUUGACUCAACACGGGAAACCUCACCAGGCCCAGACACCGGAAGGAUUGACAGAUUGAUAGCUCUUUCUUGAUUCGGUGGGUGGUGGUGCAUGGCCGUUCUUAGUUGGUGGAGCGAUUUGUCUGGUUAAUUCCGAUAACGAACGAGACUCUAGCCUGCUAAAUAGGCGUACCUUAUGGUAUCGCGAAGGCCCCCGGCUUCGGCCGGUGGGUUUUUACUACCAACGUACAAACAAAUCUUUUUAGAGGGACAGGCGG